UGAGACGACCCUCUAGUUUGCCCUCAUUGCCAAAUUCUCUAUAAAAAGCCUAUAUUGGUUGUGCUUCAUCAUUUUAUCAGUUCAAAUUAGGGAUUGUCUUUGGUCUCUAUGUACGUUUAUUGGAUUGAUGCCACAUAUUGAUCAAAUUGCAAAACGUUGAGGAUUUUAGUAAGGCAUGGACUUUGACUCUUCUGAUAUUGAUGGCUCUUUAUUUCGAUUGUUUAAUUGGUAUUGUGAUUUUAU
RNAcentral lists this long non-coding RNA (243 nucleotides) under Olea europaea (common olive). RNAcentral describes it as "long non-coding RNA (OEUR_LNC003582)". Lineage: Eukaryota; Viridiplantae; Streptophyta; Magnoliopsida; Lamiales; Oleaceae. The record is from RNAcentral.